AGUGAACGCUGGCGGUAGGCCUAACACAUGCAAGUCGAACGGCAGCACAGUAAGAGCUUGCUCUUACGGGUGGCGAGUGGCGGACGGGUGAGGAAUACAUCGGAAUCUACUUUUUCGUGGGGGAUAACGUAGGGAAACUUACGCUAAUACCGCAUACGACCUACGGGUGAAAGCAGGGGAUCUUUGGACCUUGCGCGAUUGAAUGAGCCGAUGUCGGAUUAGCUAGUUGGCGGGGUAAAGGCCCACCAAGGCGACGAUCCGUAGCUGGUCUGAGAGGAUGAUCGGCCACACUGGAACUGAGACACGGUCCAGACUCCUACGGGAGGCAGCAGUGGGGAAUAUUGGACAAUGGGCGCAAGCCUGAUCCAGCCAUACCGCGUGGGUGAAGAAGGCCUUCGGGUUGUAAAGCCCUUUUGUUGGGAAAGAAAAGCAGCAGGUUAAUACCCCGCUGUUCUGACGGUACCCAAAGAAUAAGCACCGGCUAACUUCGUG
RNAcentral lists this ribosomal RNA (492 nucleotides) under uncultured bacterium. RNAcentral's name for it is "partial 16S ribosomal RNA". It matches the Rfam family "Bacterial small subunit ribosomal RNA", at positions 29 to 507 of the family's 1533-position model. The record is from RNAcentral.